GAUGAAGAACGCAGCGAAAUGCGAUAAGUAGUGUGAAUUGCAGAAUUCAGUGAAUCAUCGAAUCUUUGAACGCACAUUGCGCCCCUUGGUAUCCCGAGGGGCAUGCCUGUUCGAGCGUCAUUUCACCACUCAAGCCUGGCUUGGUGUUGGGCGACGUCCCCUUUAGGGACGCGCCUCGAAACGCUCGGCGGCGCGGCACCGGCUUUAAGCGUAGCAGAAUCUUUCGCUUUGGAAGUCGGGGCCCCGUCUGCCGGAAGACCUACUCGCAAGGUUGACCUCGGAUCAGGCAGGGAUACCCGCUGAACUUAAGCAUAUCAAUAAGCGGAGGA
This 329-nucleotide unclassified non-coding RNA is filed under the name soil metagenome. Its description in RNAcentral is "partial contains 5.8S ribosomal RNA, internal transcribed spacer 2, and large subunit ribosomal RNA". The stretch from base 1 to 120 matches the Rfam family "5.8S ribosomal RNA", at positions 35 to 154 of the family's 154-position model. The record is from RNAcentral.